Molecule: ribosomal RNA, 207 nt
Filed under: uncultured bacterium
Lineage: Bacteria
Description: partial 16S ribosomal RNA
Rfam family: Bacterial small subunit ribosomal RNA
Source: RNAcentral
CGCGUAGGCGGUUCGCUAAGUUGAAUGUGAAAACUCUGGGUUUAACCCAGAGCCUGCAUUCAAUACUGGCGGGCUAGAGUUCUGGAGGGGAUAGCGGAAUUCCUGGUGUAGCGGUGAAAUGCGUAGAUAUCAGGAGGAACACCGGUGGCGAAGGCGGCUAUCUGGACAGAGUCUGACGCUGAGGCGCGAAAGCUAGGGGAGCAAACA